CGGCCGCGUCGACGGGGCUAGCGUUGUUCGGAAUUACUCGGGCGUAAAGCGCACGUAGGCGGCUUUGUUAAGUUAGAGGUGUAAAGCCUGGACGCUUUAACUCCAGAACUGCCUUUAAGACUGCAUCGCUUGAAUCCAGGAGAGGUGAGUGGAAUUCCGAGUGUAGAGGUGAAAUUCGUAGAUAUUCGGAAGAACACCAGUGGCGAAGGCGGCUCACUGGACUGGUAUUGACGCUGAGGUGCGAAAGCGUGGGGAGCAAACAGGAUUAGAUACCCUCGGUAGUCCACGCCGUAAACUAUGAUAACUAGCUGUCCGGGUGCUUGGCAUUUGGGUGGCGCAGCUAACGCAUUAAGUUAUCCGCCUGGGGAGUACGGUCGCAAGAUUAAAACUCAAAGGAAUUGACGGGGGCCUGCACAAGCAGUGGAGUAUGUGGUUUAAUUCGAAGCAACGC
RNAcentral lists this ribosomal RNA (451 nucleotides) under uncultured bacterium. RNAcentral describes it as "bacterial SSU rRNA". It matches the Rfam family "Bacterial small subunit ribosomal RNA", at positions 512 to 962 of the family's 1533-position model. The record is from RNAcentral.